Molecule: long non-coding RNA, 320 nt
Organism: Pectinophora gossypiella (pink bollworm)
Lineage: Eukaryota; Metazoa; Arthropoda; Insecta; Lepidoptera; Gelechiidae
Exons: 3
Source: RefSeq, a predicted model, not a curated record
GUCAAAGGAGCUGGGUGAACAAGUUGAAACUUGUAGCUUAAAUAAGUAUGAACAGUUACUCGUGGAGAAAGACGUAGACACCGUUGACGGUUAAAAAUCAUCAUCAUAAUUUCGAAGGUGUAGCACUAAAAGCGGUGCCUGCUAAGUACUUUGAACAUGUCGAAUAAUUUAACAAACGUUAACGAAGAUGAUUUAUUCUACCCUUACGCGCAAGAUCCGCUUGCUGACUUCGAUGAAAGGUAUCCUGUUCAAGCGACUACCACAAAAUCGACGGCGCCUCAUGAUAACAAGAGUCAAAAGCUGAAAAGUGAUAAGAAGAA